UGAGGAACUUGGAGAAGUUUUGAAACUCUUUUUAGGAGCUUUUAGAGGUCUUUAAGAGUUCUGAAGAGCUUUGCCUCUGGACAGCAGCUGAAGUUGAGCUCUUUGCUGCCUUCCACUGCCCCACCCUGCUCCUCCUUGGCUCCUUUGCUGUUGCUCAGCUUGAACUGUGCAGUUUGUCCACUUUGCAUAGAUUCCUGGAAUGGUUUGGCUUGGAAGGGACCUUAAAGCUCAUCCAGUUCCAACUCUCAGCCAUGUGCAGGGACACCUCCCAGCAGCCCAGAUUGCUGAAGGCCUCAUCCAGCCUGGCCUUGAACACCUCUAGGGAGGGGAAUUCACAACCUCCCUGGGCAGCCUGCUCCUGUGUCUCCCCAGCCUGACUGUGGGGAAUUUCUUCCUAAUAUCCAGUCUGGGUCUUCUCUCUUCCAGCUUCAACCUGUUCUCCCUUAUCCUAUCACUACAUGCCCUUGUCCAAAGUCCCUGCCCAGCUUUCUUGCAGGCUCUUUCAGGUCUUCUUCCAGUCACGCUGAGAACUCUGGGAAGAAGAAGUGAACUUUCUCCAUUUUGUCUUUCACUUCUGCCUUUGCCUUCAGACCUGGUCACAUCUCAUUAACCUUGCUCCAACUAACCCUGCUCCCAAAACUGUUGGCCGCACCUCUCUUCUUCCUGAGAACUGGGUCCCGCUGAGAAGUCUGGGAAGAAGAAGUAAAACAUUAGAUAACAUUCUCCAUUUUGACUCUCACUCUGCCUUUGUCUUCAGACCUAGCCACAUCUCCUUAACCUCACUGCCACUAACCUUCCUUCUUAAUCUCUUGGCUGCACCUCUAUUCUUUUCUCAGGAUUGGGGUAAGGUUGAGAGGGCAAGGGGAGGUGUUGGGGUGGUUUGAGAGCCCCUCCUGGGGACUCAGGUUUCUGGGAGGGGAGUUGUGCUUCUGUAUUACUUGUCCUUUGUAUAUUUCUGUAUAUAACUGUAUAUAUUGUAAAUAUCUGC
This is a long non-coding RNA of Pogoniulus pusillus (Red-fronted tinkerbird), 988 nucleotides long. RefSeq lists it as uncharacterized. The record is from RefSeq and is a predicted model, not a curated record. Lineage: Eukaryota; Metazoa; Chordata; Aves; Piciformes; Lybiidae. The transcript has 3 exons.